Molecule: non-coding RNA, 84 nt
Filed under: uncultured Anaerofilum sp.
Lineage: Bacteria; Bacillati; Bacillota; Clostridia; Eubacteriales; Oscillospiraceae
Description: Glycine riboswitch
Rfam family: Glycine riboswitch aptamer
About the family: This family represents the bacterial glycine riboswitch.
Source: RNAcentral
GUAACUCUGGAGAAUCCCGCAGCAGCCGGGUGCCGAAGGGGCAAGCGCACAGCGCGAAUCUCUCAGGCAAAAGGACAGAGGGAG